CAGUGAAGAAGAGUUUCUUGGUAUACCGUAAUGACUGCAGCCUUCCCCGGAGCAGCUCAGACUCUGAGUCCAGCAGCAGUAGCAGUAGCAGCGCUGCUUCAGACCGGACCAGCACAACGCCCUCAAAACAAGGCCGGGGCAAACCCUCCUUCUCUCGGGGCACUUUCCCAGAGGACAGCAGUGAGGAUACCUCAGGCACUGAGAAUGAGGCCUACUCCGUGGGCACUGGCCGCGGCGUGGGCCACAGCAGUAAGUUCCCUUGCCCAAGGCCAGGGAUGCUGGGGACCCAGUGUCAGGGUCUCGCCAGCCCCCCAGCUGCUGAUCCACCCCCUCUCCCCCAUUCCUGUGAAGUGGUAAGGAAGAGUCUGGGCCGGGGAGCUGGCUGGCUGUCAGAGGAUGAGGACUCCCCGCUGGAUGCUCUGGACCUCGUGUGGGCCAAAUGCCGAGGCUAUCCAUCAUACCCAGCUCUGAUCAUUGAUCCAAAGAUGCCCCGAGAAGGUAUGUUCCACCAUGGGGUUCCCAUCCCUGUGCCCCCACUGGAGGUGCUGAAACUUGGGGAGCAGAUGACCCAGGAAGCCCGAGAGCAUCUCUACCUCGUCCUCUUCUUUGACAACAAACGAACCUGGCAGUGGCUGCCCAGGACCAAGCUGGUUCCUCUGGGUGUGAACCAGGACCUAGACAAGGAGAAG
This 689-nucleotide small RNA is filed under the name Pan troglodytes (chimpanzee). RNAcentral describes it as "retained intron". The record is from RNAcentral. Lineage: Eukaryota; Metazoa; Chordata; Mammalia; Primates; Hominidae.